This 473-nucleotide ribosomal RNA is filed under the name Fulvia hungerfordi. RNAcentral's name for it is "partial 16S ribosomal RNA". It matches the Rfam family "Bacterial large subunit ribosomal RNA", at positions 1811 to 2608 of the family's 2925-position model. Lineage: Eukaryota; Metazoa; Mollusca; Bivalvia; Cardiida; Cardiidae. The record is from RNAcentral.
AAACAUCUCCCUCAGAGGUUUUUAUUGAGGGUAGUCCCUGCCCAGUGGAUAUCUUUCUAAACGGAAUUUAUUUUAAAGUAGCGUAAUAAUUUGUCCCUUAAUUAGGGUCUGUAUGAAAGGGUUGACGCGGGGUGGCUGUCUUGAAAGAAUUAUUUUGAAAUUUUCUUUCCAGUGAAAAGUCUGGGCUUUGUUUAAAAGACGAGAAGACCCCGUCGAGCUUAGUAGGGAUGUACCAUUUGGUGCUUCUUCGAUUUUUAUUGGGGCAAUAUGGGAGAAUGUGAACCUCCAUUAAUUUUUAGAUCCACACUUAGUGAUAAAAGGAAAAAGUUACCGCGGGGAUAACAGCGCAAAAUAGCCUGAAAGCUCUUAUUGAAGGCUGUGGAUGCGACCUCGAUGUUGGAUUAGGAUAACUUUAAGGUGUAGCUGCUUUUAUAAGUGGGACUGUUCGUCCUUUAAAUUCCUACAUGAUCUGA